AAUUUCGGACAAUGGGGGAAACCCUGAUCCAGCCAUCCCGCGUGUAUGACGAAGGCCUUCGGGUUGUAAAGUACUUUUGUCAGAGAAGAAAAGGUAUCCCCUAAUACGGGAUACUGUUGACGGUACCUGAAGAAUAAGCACCGGCUAACUACUUGCCAGCGGCCGCGGUAAUACGUAGGGUGCAAGCGUUAAUCGGAAUUACUGGGCGUAAAGCAUGUGUAGGCGGUUCGGAAAGAAAGAUGUGAAAUCCCAGGGCUCAACCUUGGAACUGCAGUUAUAACUGCCGAGCUAGAGUAUGUCAGGGGGGGGUAGAAUUCCACGUGUAGCAGUGAAAUGCGUAGAUAUGUGGAGGAAUACCGAUGGCGAAGGCAGCCCCCUGGGAUAAUACUGACGCUCAGACACGAAAGCGUGGGGAGCAAACAGG
RNAcentral lists this ribosomal RNA (424 nucleotides) under uncultured bacterium. RNAcentral describes it as "partial 16S ribosomal RNA". It matches the Rfam family "Bacterial small subunit ribosomal RNA", at positions 360 to 776 of the family's 1533-position model. The record is from RNAcentral.